GUAGAGUAACGCGUGAGUAACCUGCCUUACACAAGGGGAUAGCCUUUGGAAACGAAGAAUAAUACCCUAUAAAACCAUAAAAGCACAUGCUAGAAUGGUCAAAGUGAUAGCGGUGUAAGAUGGACUUGCGUCUGAUUAGCUAGUUGGUGAGAUAAAAGCUCACCAAGGCAACGAUCAGUAGCCGGCUUGAGAGAGUGUACGGCCACAUUGGGACUGAGACGCGGCCCAG
This 229-nucleotide ribosomal RNA is filed under the name uncultured Eubacteriales bacterium. RNAcentral's name for it is "uncultured Clostridiales bacterium partial 16S ribosomal RNA". It matches the Rfam family "Bacterial small subunit ribosomal RNA", at positions 106 to 334 of the family's 1533-position model. Lineage: Bacteria; Bacillati; Bacillota; Clostridia; Eubacteriales. The record is from RNAcentral.